AUUUUUCCCAGCCAGUACCAAGCACAACUACCCCACUACAACCAGCCACGCAAUCUUCCCAGCCGAUACCGAGCACAACUAGUCCACACCAAGCAGCCAUGCAAGCCUUUGCCUUGACAAGAAACAUUCAAUUACCAUCCAGAGAGAGUGAAGAUGCUGCAAUGACACGAGCUAUUCUGGCAGUUCUAACUUCUCCUUCAUCUUCUACCAGUUCUUCAAUAACACCUAACCUACCUUACCAUUACCGGGAAAGCCAGAGAACUAGUGCUUUCAAGAAUUAUCUGACCCCCACAAGACUAAUGAGCCAAAGUUUACGCAAGCAAAGUAUGCUUAAAAGGGCAAUCACUUAUUACAGGAGCUUAAAUACUGUGAGACGGGAACAUAUGCUGGCAAGUCGCCCUACCUGCGCUCUGAUAUCAUGUGGUGCAACUG
RNAcentral lists this unclassified non-coding RNA (432 nucleotides) under Hevea brasiliensis (rubber tree). Lineage: Eukaryota; Viridiplantae; Streptophyta; Magnoliopsida; Malpighiales; Euphorbiaceae. The record is from RNAcentral.